AAUAAAAGACCACAGGGUAAUAUGCUAUUGAACAAUAAGAUAGUAAAAUCGUGCUUAAAAUCGGCAUGAAAUAUAUAUAUAUAGAGGAUAUUAAACGGCGGCGCGAAGAUAUGACUUUUAUCAUCGAGUGGUGAUAUCGCGUUUUUAACGCGAGAGGAUAAAAAUCAUAUCUUCAAGCCACCGUGUAAUGUUCUGUUUAUUAUAUAGCCCCAAGCAAAAAAUUGUGAAAUUUCACGCUCAAAAGCACAUGGAAAAAGUCACAUGAUCGAUAUUUUCACUAGUGAAGAUAUGGAAAAUUUAUAUAUCUCACUGUGUAUUUUUCAGGAUCUCACUCUCUACUAUAUAAUAAAAGCCCAUUCUUACGGAAUUACUAACUACGAAAGAAUAUCACCGUAUAAGUCUGUACAUUUCACUGGCAUCAGUUGUUAUUGUGAUGUAAGAAAAAGCGUCGAGUUGCGUGUGAUAUUAUUCCUUCGUAGUUAGUAAUUCCGUAAGAACGGUUACUAUUUUAAGCCGAGUGUUAUUGCAGAUAGAGAAAACCACGAAAACAAAAAGGUUUUUCUCUUUUUAUAAUAAUCAGUUUCAAAAUGGCUUUUUAUCACUCGUGGUCCAUCCGUGGUCAGUCAUGUGUACUUUUAGUCACGAUUUGCUGAAACAGUCUAUUAUAUUCGCUUACAUAAAGCGAGGAAUCUAAAUAACUUACAAGUUCUAUGUCUCUGUUAUCACCAAUGUGAGAUAUAUUUAAAGUAGUCUAAAAGGUUAUUGGGUUGUUUAAUUUAUUUCAGUGUCUCUAGAUGAACACUAUUCUAUACCAACUUGAUUUCUUGAAUUAUUGAUGAUGCAAAUACAGUAUGGUUGUGCGGCAAUUGUUUCUGGUCCUGCUUUCACUUUUUUGUCGUUGUCGUCGUCGUCGUCGUUAUCGUUGUUGUUGUUGUUGUUGUUGUUGUUGUUGUUGUUGUUGUUGUUGUUGUUGUUGUUGUUGUUGUUGUUGUUGUUGUUGUUGUUGGUGUUGGUGUUGGUGUUGGUGCUGGUGGCGCUAUUGUUGCUAUUGCUAUUGUUAUGUUGUCAAGUAAAAAUUUACCACUACAGGUUUUUAUCAUUUUGAAGAUCUUAAACUCCCGUUUCGUUUUGUUGCAUCUCAUUCAGAUGACUGUAGAAAUGAUCUUCGUCUUCCUUUCCAGUUCUAUUGAGUGCUGUAUACAUAGCUUCUUCAUAGUUUUCGUUGUCUGUUUUCCCCGUUGUAUUAUCAGGCUGCUCGUAAAUACCAUCAGUCAUCGUUGCAUUGCUUGGUCCGUUGUUGCUAGUUGUUCCCUUCCUGUUCAAUGCUGCUUUUAAUGCUCGAGUUUUAUAAACAAAAUAAACAACAAGGAGAAGUAGAAUGGCUAGAAUGAUGCCCAUCACUAUGAUACCAAUAAGGUAACCUUUAUCAUCUUCAGAAUCUGCUUCUGCAUCUUAAAAUUAAAGAGUAAUUUAAUUGACAAUUAGACAAUGGUCUUUGCGGUUAAAGUAAUUUAUUAAUUUAUUCUCUGAUACUGGUGCAAAUUAAUUCUUCCUUAAAAAUAG
This is a non-coding RNA of Paramuricea clavata, 1563 nucleotides long. The record is from the annotation of a GenBank genome assembly. NCBI's taxonomy places the organism in Eukaryota, Metazoa, Cnidaria, Anthozoa, Malacalcyonacea, Plexauridae.